CACGUAGGCGGAUAUUUAAGUCAGGGGUGAAAUCCCAGAGCUCAACUCUGGAACUGCCUUUGAUACUGGGUAUCUUGAGUAUGGAAGAGGUAAGUGGAAUUCCGAGUGUAGAGGUGAAAUUCGUAGAUAUUCAGAGGAACACCAGUGGCGAAGGCGGCUUACUGGUCCAUUACUGACGCUGAGGUGCGAAAGCGUGGGGAGCAAACA
This 207-nucleotide ribosomal RNA is filed under the name uncultured bacterium. Its description in RNAcentral is "partial 16S ribosomal RNA". It matches the Rfam family "Bacterial small subunit ribosomal RNA", at positions 568 to 774 of the family's 1533-position model. The record is from RNAcentral.